GUGAACGCCCUCACGGGCUUAUAACUAUUCCAAACCUCGGUGAACCGUGCCCUUCGGGGCUAUUUUACAAACAUGGUGUAAUGAACGUCAUAUAUCAUAACAAAACA
This 107-nucleotide unclassified non-coding RNA is filed under the name soil metagenome. RNAcentral describes it as "partial internal transcribed spacer 1". The record is from RNAcentral.